AAUCAUGGCUCAGGAUGAACGCUAGCUACAGGCUUAACACAUGCAAGUCGAGGGGCAGCAUUUUAGUUUGCUUGCAAACUAAAGAUGGCGGCCGGCGCACGGGUGAGUAACACGUAUCCAACCUGCCGAUAACUCGGGGAUAGCCUUUCGAAAGAAAGAUUAAUAUCCGAUGGUAUAUUAAAACCGCAUGGUUUUACUAUUAAAGAAUUUCGGUUAUCGAUGGGGAUGCGUUCCAUUAGUUUGUUGGCGGGGUAACGG
This 258-nucleotide ribosomal RNA is filed under the name uncultured bacterium. RNAcentral's name for it is "partial 16S ribosomal RNA". It matches the Rfam family "Bacterial small subunit ribosomal RNA", at positions 15 to 263 of the family's 1533-position model. The record is from RNAcentral.